Molecule: ribosomal RNA, 507 nt
Filed under: Triticum aestivum (bread wheat)
Lineage: Eukaryota; Viridiplantae; Streptophyta; Magnoliopsida; Poales; Poaceae
Description: partial small subunit ribosomal RNA
Source: RNAcentral
AUGCAAGUGCAGGCGGCCGCUACCAUACAGCUUUGUCUUGCGGAUCAGGUCAUGUAUCAUGUCAUGGACGAAGAUGCUCCUAAGGGAAUUUGGGACAAGUUGGCAAAUCAUUAUAUGCCCAAGUCAGCGACCAAUAAGCUGUAUUUGAAGCAAAAGUUCUUUGGGCUGAAGAUGCAGGAGGGGUCGGAUCUUGUGGAGCAUGUGAAUGCCUUUAAUCAAUUGGUCACGGAUCUAGCGCGUCUGGAUGUGAAGAUUGAGGACGAGGAUAAGGCACUACUUCUUCUUGUUUCGUUGCCACCGUCCUAUGAGCAUUUGGUCAUUACAUUGACACAUGGAAAGACAACCAUCAAUAAUGAGGAAGUCACUGCAGCGUUGCUUGGACAUGAGUUGAUGAAGCAAAAGAAUGUUGCAGAAAGGGGGAGUACUCAAGGUUUGGGGUUGGCAGUUAAAGGUUAUCAGCUCAGGAAGGGACAAGAGGCGGAGAAAAAAAAGAAGAAAAAUGUGUAG